GAACGCUGGCGGCGUGCUUAACACAUGCAAGUCGAACGGAAAGGCCCUGCUUUUGUGGGGUGCUCGAGUGGCGAACGGGUGAGUAACACGUGAGUAACCUGCCCCUGACUUUGGGAUAACUUCAGGAAACUGGGGCUAGUACCGGAUAGGAGCUCCUGCUGCAUGGUGGGGGUUGGAAAGUUUCGGCGGUUGGGGAUGGACUCGCGGCUUAUCAGCUUGUUGGUGGGGUAGUGGCUUACCAAGGCUUUGACGGGUAGCCAGCCUGAGAGGGUGACCGGCCACAUUGGGACUGAGAUACGGCCCAGACUCCUACGGGAGGCAGCAGUGGGGAAUAUUGCACAAUGGGCGGAAGCCUGAUGCAGCAACGCCGCGUGCGGGAUGACGGCCUUCGGGUUGUAAACCGCUUUCGCCUGUGACGAAGCGUGAGUGACGGUAAUGGGUAAAGAAGCACCGGCUAACUACGUGCCAGCAGCCGCGGUGAUACGUAGGGUGCGAGCGUUGUCCGGAUUUAUUGGGCGUAAAGGGCUCGUAGGUGGUUGAUCGCGUCGGAAGUGUAAUCUUGGGGCUUAACCCUGAGCGUGCUUUCGAUACGGGUUGACUUGAGGAAGGUAGGGGAGAAUGGAAUUCCUGGUGGAGCGGUGGAAUGCGCAGAUAUCAGGAGGAACACCAGUGGCGAAGGCGGUUCUCUAGGCCUUUCCUGACGCUGAGGAGCGAAAGCGUGGGGAGCGAACAGGCUUAGAUACCCUGGUAGUCCACGCUGUAAACGGUGGGUACUAGGUGUGGGGUCCAUUCCACGGGUUCCGUGCCGUAGCUAACGCUUUAAGUACCCCGCCUGGGGAGUACGGCCGCAAGGCUA
Molecule: ribosomal RNA, 856 nt
Filed under: uncultured bacterium
Lineage: Bacteria
Description: bacterial SSU rRNA
Rfam family: Bacterial small subunit ribosomal RNA
Source: RNAcentral